GAUGAACGCUAGCGGCAGGCUUAACACAUGCAAGUCGAGGGGUAUUGGUUUUCGGACCAAGAGACCGGCGCACGGGUGCGUAACGCGUAUGCAAUCUACCUUUUGCAGAGGGAUAGCCCAGAGAAAUUUGGAUUAAUACCUCAUAGUAUAGUACUUUGGCAUCAAGGAACUAUUAAAGUCACAACGGCAAAAGAUGAGCAUGCGUCCCAUUAGCUAGUUGGUAAGGUAACGGCUUACCAAGGCUACGAUGGGUAGGGGUCCUGAGAGGGAGAUCCCCCACACUGGUACUGAGACACGGACCAGACUCCUACGGGAGGCAGCAGUGAGGAAUAUUGGUCAAUGGGACGCAAGUCUGAACCAGCCAUGCCGCGUGCAGGAUGACGGUCCUAUGGAUUGUAAACUGCUUUUGACGAGAAGAAACAACAUUACGUGUAAUGUCUUGACGGUAUCGUAAGAAUAAGGAUCGGCUAACUCCGUGCCAGCAGCCGCGGUAAAGUG
RNAcentral lists this ribosomal RNA (498 nucleotides) under uncultured bacterium. RNAcentral's name for it is "bacterial SSU rRNA". It matches the Rfam family "Bacterial small subunit ribosomal RNA", at positions 28 to 527 of the family's 1533-position model. The record is from RNAcentral.